Molecule: long non-coding RNA, 1962 nt
Organism: Beta vulgaris subsp. vulgaris (sugar beet)
Lineage: Eukaryota; Viridiplantae; Streptophyta; Magnoliopsida; Caryophyllales; Amaranthaceae
Exons: 2
Source: RefSeq, a predicted model, not a curated record
CUCUCUGGAAUAUCUCACGUGUCUUGUUCAUUUUCUUUUCAUUUUUAUCUCUUCAACUUAUCGUUGUAGGUGAAUAAAUUAUCUAAAGUGAUAUAGAAAAAGAAGGGAGAAAACAUAUUAUUGGAAUAUACAAGUUAUUUAUUGUUUGUGUGGCUAAGGAAUAUAUUGCUAUCAUGUUCUCAACGUAGAUUAUUUUGCCUAGGAUCCUGUACUUAGUAUAACAAUCGUUAUUUUGGUUGUAUUUUUUUGUCCUAUGUACAACUCUCUUGUAUAGGUCUAAAUUUUCUCUCAAUGAUUGUAUAGUUGUUAGACCCUAACAGGGGAGUAAUUCCUUCUUGUAAAUUUUCUCUCUUUCAAUACAAGAAAUUGCAAGAUUUUUUUCAGAUUAUAAUCCAACUUUGAGACUUUGAUUCUUUUCAUAGUAUCAUAGCAACAUGAGUUAAGCCUUAGGCUUAAGAAAGUUUCGAAGGCUCUAACUUUAUACAUGGCUGGUGGAGGUUCCGCGAGAAAAGAAGGAAAUGAAGGAGAAACUUUUUCUAUGAAUCCAUACAAAGAUCCUCUAUUCAUUUUAGUGAAUAAAUAAAAUGGAUCAAACCCUCUUGGAAGCAUAACUUUUGAUGGAACAAAUUUUAUAAGUUGGAGCAAGAGCAUUCGGAUAGCAUUGGGAGCCAAGAAAAAAUUUGGUUUUCUUGAAGGAAAGCAUCCUAAGCUUACUAAAAAUGACAAAUAAACACAAAAAUGGGAGAGAUGUGAUUACAUGGUAAGAUCUUGGUUGCUUGUCACAAUGAAACCUGAUGUUGUUGGAAGUUUGGUGAGUAUGUAGUCAACAAGAUUACUUUGGGAGGAGAUAGUAGAGAGAUAUGCUCAAACUAAUGCUCCACAAUUGUUCCAACUCAAAAAUGAUCUUUGGGAGUUACAACAAAAUAAUUUGAGUGUGAUGAGUGAAUAUUAUUGCAGAUUUAAAGGUCUUCGAAAUCAAAUUGCAGACCUGGAAGGGAUGCUAGAGUGUACUUGUGGAGCAAUGCAGCUGUAACAUUGUAAAGAAGGUACGGUAUUAGAAUUACAAGGGAGUGGGAUAGUGAUUAAUUUGUGAUGGGCCUCAACACAGGUUAUGAUCAAAUGAAAACAAAUUUGCUUUGUAUUGAUCCUCUGGUGUCUGUUAACAAGGCGUAUAACUUGGUGUUCCAAAUGGAAAGACAGAAGCAUAGAUCACUGGUGAAUUGAAAAUGCCAGCAUUGAAGCUAAUGCUUUGGCUGUGAACAAACAAAAUCAAAGCAGAAGUUUAGGUUUGCGACAAAACUUUUAGAGAAGGACUACUAUAAGAAAUUGAAGAUGGAAAAAAUGGCAAGGGUAUGUCAGCACUAUGGAAAGAAAGGCCAUUCCAAAGAAGAAUGUUUUCAGAUAGUAGGGUUUCUAGAUUGGUACAAGAAGUCUACCGAACAAUUCAAACAUGCUGGUAAUGCAAUCAAAGAUGGUGAAGAACAGAUGCAAGACAAUCCUUUGGAUUUCACAAAUAAAGGCAUUGAAGGAACUGAAACAAGACAAGACAUCAUGAACAACAUUGUUCAAGAGGUACUUAAAGCUAUGACAGAGAAACAAGCGGGAUCAAGCAGUGGUCAAGCAAAUUUUGUAGGACCUUUCCAUUCAGAAGAACAUCCGUUUUGGAAGGAAGGAAAAUGAUCUUUAUAAGCUGGUGAAGAGUAGUAAGGCUGGAAGAAAAGAUGAUGAAGUUAAGUUGAACUAGGGAAGAAAUGAAACAGUAGUGAAUUGUAAUAAAUGUAGUGAACUUGAACCUUAUCCAUGCCAGAUUAGGGCACAUUUCUAUAUCCAAGAUGCAGCAUCUAGCUUUUUGCAAGUGUAAAAAUCUUAAAGAUUUCUUUUGUGAUAUUUGUGCUCUUGCUAAGCACCACAAGUUACCUUUUAGUCCUAAUAAAUCUAUUGUUGCUAAUAUUUUUGAGCUUA